GGACGGGUGAGUAACGCGUGGGUAACCUGCCCUGUACACACGGAUAACAUACCGAAAGGUAUACUAAUACGGGAUAACAUACGAAAGUCGCAUGGCUUUUGUAUCAAAGCUCCGGCGGUACAGGAUGGACCCGCGUCUGAUUAGCUAGUUGGUAAGGUAAUGGCUUACCAAGGCAACGAUCAGUAGCCGACCUGAGAGGGUGAUCGGCCACACUGGAACUGAGACACGGUCCAGACUCCUACGGGAGGCAGCAGUGGGGAAUAUUGCACAAUGGGCGAAAGCCUGAUGCAGCAACGCCGCGUGAGCGAUGAAGGCCUUCGGGUCGUAAAGCUCUGUCCUCAAGGAAGAUAAUGACGGUACUUGAGGAGGAAGCCCCGGCUAACUACGUGCCAGCAGCCGCGGUAAUACGUAGGGGGCUAGCGUUAUCCGGAAUUACUGGGCGUAAAGGGUGCGUAGGUGGUUUUUUAAGUCAGAAGUGAAAGGCUACGGCUCAACCGUAGUAAGCUUUUGAAACUAGAGAACUUGAGUGCAGGAGAGGAGAGUAGAAUUCCUAGUGUAGCGGUGAAAUGCGUAGAUAUUAGGAGGAAUACCAGUAGCGA
This 599-nucleotide ribosomal RNA is filed under the name Paraclostridium sp. RNAcentral describes it as "bacterial SSU rRNA". It matches the Rfam family "Bacterial small subunit ribosomal RNA", at positions 100 to 718 of the family's 1533-position model. Lineage: Bacteria; Bacillati; Bacillota; Clostridia; Peptostreptococcales; Peptostreptococcaceae. The record is from RNAcentral.